Choloepus didactylus (southern two-toed sloth) is the source of this 756-nucleotide long non-coding RNA. RefSeq lists it as uncharacterized. NCBI's taxonomy places the organism in Eukaryota, Metazoa, Chordata, Mammalia, Pilosa, Megalonychidae. The transcript has 3 exons. The record is from RefSeq and is a predicted model, not a curated record.
GCUCGUGAGCACCGUGGAUCCCCCCGAAAACCGAACAACGCGGCAGCCCCUUUCAAGAGCGGCCUGGGUGUAUGCGGACGAACUGUGCAAUCCUGGCCUGAGAUGUUAAAGGGAAAACAUUGGCUUACAACUGAACUCUCAGGAGGCAGAUAUUCUCCGCAGCCCAGGGUAACAGAUAGGGCAGUAACUGGAAUAUCUAGAUUUGCACGGUACGCUGGUUGAUAUUGUACUUUCACAGAAGCUCAUAAGGAAUAGGUUAGACAUGGCAUCAGCAUCCAAAGAUGUGGCUACCUUUCUGGGGAAUUACUUGGAAGUAUUAAAACAAAACUUACUUGGAUGACUUAAUUUGAUCCCUUUGCUGAAAACUGGUCUAAUUACUUUAGAGUCGCAUCAUCCAUGUGGCCAUAACAUGUUGCAAACACUAGGCUCAGAGUCACCAAUUGGAGAUGAGGAGAAGCUGAAAAGAAAUUCUGGUGAUCCUGCAUCCCCACUGUAACCAAUCUCCUGUAUUGAAUUCCUUCUGUGUACAUCACCAAACUCCAGGGAAGGGGCAGUCUGCAAAAUACCAGACCAGGACUCCUCAACACUGCCAAGGUCAUCAAAAACAAGGAGAAUCAGAGAUAUUGUCACAGCCACAAGGAGCUUAUGGAGACAUGACAAGUAAAUGUAAUGUGGGCUCCUGGAUGGGAUCCUGGGACAGAAAAGGGCAUUAGGUAAAAACUAAGGAAGUCUGAAUAAAGUCUGGAUUUUAGUUAA